Molecule: ribosomal RNA, 555 nt
Filed under: uncultured bacterium
Lineage: Bacteria
Description: partial 16S ribosomal RNA
Rfam family: Bacterial small subunit ribosomal RNA
Source: RNAcentral
UAGGGAAUCUUCCACAAUGGACGCAAGUCUGAUGGAGCAACGCCGCGUGAGUGAAGAAGGCUUUCGGGUCGUAAAACUCUGUUGUUGGAGAAGAAUGGUCGGCAGAGUAACUGUUGUCGGCGUGACGGUAUCCAACCAGAAAGCCACGGCUAACUACGUGCCAGCAGCCGCGGUAAUACGUAGGUGGCAAGCGUUAUCCGGAUUUAUUGGGCGUAAAGCGAGCGCAGGCGGUUUUUUAAGUCUGAUGUGAAAGCCCUCGGCUUAACCGAGGAAGUGCAUCGGAAACUGGGAAACUUGAGUGCAGAAGAGGACAGUGGAACUCCAUGUGUAGCGGUGAAAUGCGUAGAUAUAUGGAAGAACACCAGUGGCGAAGGCGGCUGUCUGGUCUGUAACUGACGCUGAGGCUCGAAAGCAUGGGUAGCGAACAGGAUUAGAUACCCUGGUAGUCCAUGCCGUAAACGAUGAAUGCUAGGUGUUGGAGGGUUUCCGCCCUUGCAGUGCCGCAGCUAACGCAUUAAGCAUUCCGCCUGGGGAGUACGACCGCAAGGUUGAAAC